GGGAAUAUAGUUAAUAUAAUAAUAUUUAUAUUGCAUAUAAAAGUUAAAUAGAUAAAUUUAUUCUUA
Molecule: transfer RNA, 66 nt
Filed under: Merostenus sp.
Lineage: Eukaryota; Metazoa; Arthropoda; Insecta; Hymenoptera; Eupelmidae
Description: tRNA-Ala
Source: RNAcentral